UACGUAGGGUGCAAGCGUUGUCCGGAAUUAUUGGGCGUAAAGAGCUCGUAGGCGGUCUGUCGCGUCGGCUGUGAAAACCCGGGGCUCAACCCCGGGCCUGCAGUCGAUACGGGCAGACUAGAGUGCGGUAGGGGAGACUGGAAUUCCUGGUGUAGCGGUGAAAUACGCGGAUAUCAGGAGGAACACCGGUGGCGAAGGCGGGUCUCUGGGCCGUAACUGACGCUGAGGAGCGAAAGCGUGGGGAGCGAACAGG
Molecule: ribosomal RNA, 253 nt
Filed under: uncultured bacterium
Lineage: Bacteria
Description: partial 16S ribosomal RNA
Rfam family: Bacterial small subunit ribosomal RNA
Source: RNAcentral